RNAcentral lists this ribosomal RNA (1403 nucleotides) under Staphylococcus saprophyticus. RNAcentral describes it as "bacterial SSU rRNA". It matches the Rfam family "Bacterial small subunit ribosomal RNA". Lineage: Bacteria; Bacillati; Bacillota; Bacilli; Caryophanales; Staphylococcaceae. The record is from RNAcentral.
GCAGUCGAGCGAACAGAUAAGGAGCUUGCUCCUUUGACGUUAGCGGCGGACGGGUGAGUAACACGUGGGUAACCUACCUAUAAGACUGGGAUAACUUCGGGAAACCGGAGCUAAUACCGGAUAACAUUUGGAACCGCAUGGUUCUAAAGUGAAAGAUGGUUUUGCUAUCACUUAUAGAUGGACCCGCGCCGUAUUAGCUAGUUGGUAAGGUAACGGCUUACCAAGGCGACGAUACGUAGCCGACCUGAGAGGGUGAUCGGCCACACUGGAACUGAGACACGGUCCAGACUCCUACGGGAGGCAGCAGUAGGGAAUCUUCCGCAAUGGGCGAAAGCCUGACGGAGCAACGCCGCGUGAGUGAUGAAGGGUUUCGGCUCGUAAAACUCUGUUAUUAGGGAAGAACAAAUGUGUAAGUAACUGUGCACGUCUUGACGGUACCUAAUCAGAAAGCCACGGCUAACUACGUGCCAGCAGCCGCGGUAAUACGUAGGUGGCAAGCGUUAUCCGGAAUUAUUGGGCGUAAAGCGCGCGUAGGCGGUUUCUUAAGUCUGAUGUGAAAGCCCACGGCUCAACCGUGGAGGGUCAUUGGAAACUGGGAAACUUGAGUGCAGAAGAGGAAAGUGGAAUUCCAUGUGUAGCGGUGAAAUGCGCAGAGAUAUGGAGGAACACCAGUGGCGAAGGCGACUUUCUGGUCUGUAACUGACGCUGAUGUGCGAAAGCGUGGGGAUCAAACAGGAUUAGAUACCCUGGUAGUCCACGCCGUAAACGAUGAGUGCUAAGUGUUAGGGGGUUUCCGCCCCUUAGUGCUGCAGCUAACGCAUUAAGCACUCCGCCUGGGGAGUACGACCGCAAGGUUGAAACUCAAAGGAAUUGACGGGGACCCGCACAAGCGGUGGAGCAUGUGGUUUAAUUCGAAGCAACGCGAAGAACCUUACCAAAUCUUGACAUCCUUUGAAAACUCUAGAGAUAGAGCCUUCCCCUUCGGGGGACAAAGUGACAGGUGGUGCAUGGUUGUCGUCAGCUCGUGUCGUGAGAUGUUGGGUUAAGUCCCGCAACGAGCGCAACCCUUAAGCUUAGUUGCCAUCAUUAAGUUGGGCACUCUAGGUUGACUGCCGGUGACAAACCGGAAGGAAGGUGGGGGAUGACGUCAAAUCAUCAUGCCCCUUAUGAUUUGGGCUACACACGUGCUACAAUGGACAAUACAAAGGGCAGCUAAACCGCGAGGUCAUGCAAAUCCCAUAAAGUUGUUCUCAGUUCGGAUUGUAGUCUGCAACUCGACUACAUGAAGCUGGAAUCGCUAGUAAUCGUAGAUCAGCAUGCUACGGUGAAUACGUUCCCGGGUCUUGUACACACCGCCCGUCACACCACGAGAGUUUGUAACACCCGAAGCCGGUGGAGUAACC